UGCAUGUAAAAGAGUGAAAUAUUUCGUCAUUUGUUUUGUUGAAGCAAAACUGACAUCUUUUAGCUAUUCAUACAUGUUGACUAGUUCAGAAACUUUCCAAACAUAUAUGUCACAUGUGUAUAGGUAUCUGAACAUUAAUGAAUAAGACAUGUGGAUGGAUGUGACAUUCUAAUUCACAAUAGAGUGGUUCUCCCUGUACCUCACUUGGUUCUCCCUGCACCUCCUUUUAAUUUUCUUUCAAAUUUAUAUAACCAAUUAUAACCCUUCAGAAUUAUUUUAAUUUAAAAAUAAAGCUAACCUAUUACUCAUUUAAUGAUAAAAAAAAUAAGCAACCAUUCCUCUACUGUGCCGCAUUUCACAAACCCUACACCCCCCUUUCUUUUUCUCCUCUCUUCUUCUAGCAGUCAUCUUCUGCUUCCUUUUCACCCUUUAUUUUUAAGGUGUUCUUGCAAAGUUCCUCCCCUCUUCUCCUGCUCCUUCCUCCCCUCUUCCCCUCCUCCUGGUUGUAGUGUAAUAAAAUGAUUUAUUUGUUGUAAAUAUUGUCUUUGUGGUUGAUGUGCGGGUUAGGAAUGCUUGGUCUGGGGUUGGGAAUGCUUGAUCUGGGGUUGGGGGUGUUGGAUCUGAGGGGAAGGAGGGAGGCCUUAACCGCUCUUGGAAUUGCGGAUAAGGCGUUCACCGCUCUUGGAAUUGCGGAUAAGGCGUUCACGCACUGGGAAGUGCGGUUAAGAGGGUUGUCGCAGUUGGAGUUGCGGAUGAGGUUCGCCGCACUUGGAACGAGUUGCGGUUAUUGUUAGGGCAGUUAGAUGAGCCGCACUUGGAAGUGCGGUUGAGGAUCACCGCAUUUGGGAGGUGUGGAGGGUUGCUGAUCGAAGUUGGAACUGGGUUUUUUUAUUUCUUUUUUCUGUUUUAUUUUUCCUGCAGUAUUUUAAUUUUUUUGUUAGUAUUUUAUAUACUUUUUUUUUGUUAAUAUUUUAUAUUUAUAUAAUCUAUAAUUUUUAUUUUUAUGAUAUAUUUU
This 1015-nucleotide long non-coding RNA is filed under the name Vigna radiata. RNAcentral describes it as "long non-coding RNA (VRAD_LNC007283)". Lineage: Eukaryota; Viridiplantae; Streptophyta; Magnoliopsida; Fabales; Fabaceae. The record is from RNAcentral.